RNAcentral lists this unclassified non-coding RNA (3316 nucleotides) under Rhopalosiphum maidis (corn leaf aphid). Its description in RNAcentral is "uDP-glucuronosyltransferase 2C1-like, transcript variant X2". Lineage: Eukaryota; Metazoa; Arthropoda; Insecta; Hemiptera; Aphididae. The record is from RNAcentral.
CGGACAUUCAGAGACUGUUGUAAAUUUAUAGUUGUUCAGUAUUCCAUCGGCUAUUGAAACCGGCUGUCGUUCGUAGUGUGGUUUGUUUCGUAUUUCUGUUUAGAGCAACGGACGAACGAUGAGGAUGUUCGCUCUAUCAACAGCGUUCUGCAACACCAUGCAGCUGUUGACGUUGCUAACAUUGUUGUUGUUUGCGGUAAGAUCGUCCAGCGAGGGACAAAAGCCACCAGUGAAACAAUUGAGUAUAUUGGCGUUUUUGCCGACCGAAGGUAAAAGUCAUUUCAUGGGCUUCAAACCGUUACUCGAAAAUCUUGUUUCCAGAGGACAUAAUGUCACACUGGUUGCACCGUUUCCACUGGACGGUGCUAAACGGCCGUAUCGUCACGUCAAAGUCGAGAAGACGUUGGCAGACUUCGACAUGCUGAAAGUGGCGAAAUACGUGAACCUCGUACCGACGCCGUUGCACUUGUGGUGGUUUGGGCCGCACAUCAGCGAGACGAGCCUGGACAAACCGUCGGUGGCGGACUUCAUCAAGACCGACCGGUCGUCGUUCGACUUGGUGAUGUUCGAGAACUUCUACCACGAGUGUUUCGUGGCCAUCGGACACAAGUACGGCGCCCCCGUGGUGCAGUUGCUGCCGUUCGCCGCCAACUCGAGGGUGUCGCAGUGGCAGAGCAACCCGUACAACCCCGCCUACAUACCGGACCUGGUCAGCACGUUCGGGUCGAACAUGACGUUCGCGCAGCGCACCACCAACGCGGUGUCCGCGUUCUUCUACACGUCCGUCUCCCGGCUGGUGUACAUGCCCCGGCAGCGGGCCGUUGCCGAAAAGCACUUCGUUUACCCGGGACACGAAAGCCGGCCCGACCUCGUCGACAUGCUUCGGAACGUAUCGCUGACGCUGGUCAACAGUCACCCGGUCGUCGGUUCGGCCGUGCCAAUGGUGCCCAGCUACGUGCACGUGGCCGGCAUGCACUGCGUGCCCGCCGGUCCGUUGCCUGAAGACCUGAAGCAGAUAAUGGAUAAUUCUAAAGAAGGUGUAGUCUACUUUAGUUUAGGAUCAGUGGUAAAAUCGUCCAAAAUGCCCAAGGAAACAGUAUCACUGUUACUGUCAGAACUCUCGAAAAUCGAACAGACUGUCCUAUGGAAAUGGGAAGCGGAAGACGUACCGCAACUACCCAAGAAUGUCAUCAUUCGAAAAUGGUUUCCCCAAAAUGACAUACUAGGUCAUCCAAACUGCAAAUUAUUUAUCACGCACGGUGGAGUACAAAGCACCACGGAGUCCGUCUAUCACGGAGUGCCCAUGUUAGCCAUACCCGUUUUUGGCGACCAAAAGGGUAAUUCACUACGCGCACAGUACAGAGGCAUAGCUAUACAAGUGCCGUACUUUGAGUUGACACACGAAGCGUUUGGCAGUGCACUGCACAAACUGCUCAUCGAUCCGACGUACCGGGAAAACGCCAAAAAGUCGUCGGCCCUGUUCAGGGACAACCCGUUGCCGCCGCUGGAAAAGGCUGUAUUUUGGAUCGAGUACGUUGCCAGGCACGGCGGUGCGAAACAUCUACGGACGGCCGCCAACGACCUUUAUUGGUUCCAGUACAUGCUUUUGGAUGUCCUGUUGCUGGUGUUAUCCGUGAUCGUAUUGAUGGCGUGGAUGACCAAAAAAAUGCUUUGUUGCGUGUUCGGCCGGUGUUGUCGUCGCGGCCGAAAUGUUGCCUCGCCGCCAGCAGCGGGGAAAAAAACUCAGUGAUAUGAUAAUGAGCACAGCCCAAUAUGCAAUCGACUAUCGUUCCGCUCGGAGUUCAAAAAGAAAAAAAAUCGAGUCUAUUUCACAGCUAUACGCUACGACACCGCGCAAACGAUGACUCUCCUGUACGUAUGGUUAAUUGUGUGUACAAAUAAAAUUAAAAUCGCAAAAAUAAUAUUUUAAAUCGAAAAACAAUGUUUUAAAUCUACUUAGAAAUCGUUGGACGAUAAUUAAAUAAAUCGGUAUUGUACAAAGAUAAAAAUAAUAUAUAAAAUUAUAAAAUCGAUGUAUCAUUUUUUAUUCGAAUUAGAAAAGAAAACGAAUAUCAAUAAGUGAAACUGAAAUUAAAAUCAAAAAUUUAAUUUUGAUUCCAAAAGCCCUGAUCAUUAUUUACUGUAAAAUUCGACGAAACCAUGAACGUCUUUCCAUUACAUUUAUUACUUUUACACAAUAUUAUUAUGAAUUAUAAUAGGUUAGGUUAAAUAGGUUACAUUACGAAUCGCGAUAAUAACACUACACGUCAAUAAUCAAUAUUACUUACCUAUACCGUAGUGUGGGGCAGACGUAUAAUCCAUGACAGUCGCGCUUUGUCGCCAGUUCGCCUACACGAAACUAAUACUUUUCUAUAGUUAAUAAACGUAAUGAAUCGUUUUAUUUUAUUUUGUACGUAUUACAUAGUUAAAUGUUUAUAUUAAAUUUCAGCCACGUAAAAAACAUUUAAAAACUAAAAACGAAAUUUAACACAACUGCAUUUAACAAUAAUAAGUAAUUUAUUAUUGUAUUAAUAAUUAAUAUACAUCUGUCAUAAACAAUAUGAUGAACUCUGAUAUAGGUGGUACAGCUCAAAAUUAUUACAUAAAUGAUUUAAUACUUAUUGAAUAAAAUCGUGUACCUUAUAUAUGCAUAUUGUGCAAACCCAUUAUGAGAUAAUAUAAUAUUCAUUUUCCUCGAGGUUUUGAAAAUCAAAUAUUUAAAUUAUUAUUAAAUAUGCGAUGAAUAAAAAUUAUAUUUCAUAUGAUACAUGCUGUAUUGUUGUGAUGUCGUCACAAUGUUCGAAAAUGUUUCUUGGCGGAUUGUACACGCUUGACACUUAUCUAAUGCAUCUAUAAGCUAGGUAUAUGAAAUUAAUAAAAUAAUGAAACAAUUUUUUUUUUUUACAUUUUAUUUAUUACGAUGGUUUUUAAAAAUAUUAAUUCGUAAAAGGUGAUGAAUGAAGACUGAAAAAGUAAAAAACAUUCUUUUAAACCCUUCCAAAAACAUUUAAUACUCGUAUAUAUAAAAAUUCAAAACAACUUAAGUGUAUUUGGAUAAUAGUACGUGAAAUAAACACAAUCAACUAUAAUUAUAGGUAUAGUAUGUAUAGCAGAUACUAAUUACUAAUUAAGUAGACAUAUAUUUUUGUAUUUAUGUAUAGUAAACACAUUUUGUCUAUGAAUUAUUAUAUAUUUACUCGGAUAAAUAAGAUCAGUUCAUAAAUAUUCGCUUAAUAUUUUCUGAAAUCGCGUGUUCGUAAAUUCAAUUACAUCUCCAAUUAUUAUACUUUUUAUGCAACUUAAUUGAAUUUUUCUA